This 497-nucleotide ribosomal RNA is filed under the name uncultured bacterium. Its description in RNAcentral is "partial 16S ribosomal RNA". It matches the Rfam family "Bacterial small subunit ribosomal RNA", at positions 28 to 507 of the family's 1533-position model. The record is from RNAcentral.
GAUGAACGCUGGCGGCGUGCCUAAUACAUGCAAGUCGAGCGAACAGACGAGGAGCUUGCUCCUCUGACGUUAGCGGCGGACGGGUGAGUAACACGUGGAUAACCUACCUAUAAGACUGGGAUAACUUCGGGAAACCGGAGCUAAUCCCGGAUAAUAUAUUGAACCGCAUGGUUCAAUAGUGAAAGACGGUUUUGCUGUCACUUAUAGAUGGAUCCGCGCCGCAUUAGCUAGUUGGUAAGGUAACGGCUUACCAAGGCGACGCUGCGUAGCCGACCUGAGAGGGUGAUCGGCCACACGGGAACGGAGACACGGUCCAGACUCCUACGGGAGGCAGCAGUAGGGAAUCUUCCGCAAUGGGCGAAAGCCUGACGGAGCAACGCCGCGUGAGUGAUGAAGGUCUUCGGAUCGUAAAACUCUGUUAUUAGGGAAGAACAAAUGUGUAAGUAACUAUGUACGUCUUGACGGUACCUAAUCAGAAAGCCACGGCUAACUACGUG